GGGGAAAUAGUGAAUUUCAAGGUUGCUAAUUGCAGUCUAUUUCUUUUUGCUAGUCUGUGAUUUAUAUAACAUAUUUCUGAUGCACUUCAGAAUCUUCUUGUCUUUUUCCAUUGAGAAACUUGUUUAUUUGCUUGCUUCUUUUAAAAUCCUGUUAUUUCAAGGCAUGUGGAUCAACAAAAUGAAGAAUAUGGGGCCAAAUAAUGAGAAAGAUGGUAUUUCACUUUCCAAAGAAACUAUAGCUGAUUCCUCUCUCUCUCUCUAUGUGCUCCCUCUCAUCUCAAAGCUAAAACUGAUCCAAGAUAAUACUUAGUGUUUUUUUAUUAUUCUUUUUUAACUUGAGCUCAUGAUUGUUAUGUAUGUUUGUGCUCUCCUCCUCCUCUAAUCUACUUUUGGAAUAAUGAAUACGAUGUUCAUGGCAGGUUUGUAAGAAUGGUUCAUUCC
RNAcentral lists this unclassified non-coding RNA (441 nucleotides) under Hevea brasiliensis (rubber tree). Lineage: Eukaryota; Viridiplantae; Streptophyta; Magnoliopsida; Malpighiales; Euphorbiaceae. The record is from RNAcentral.